GGGUCAGUAGGUUGGUCGUGCCACCGGUACGUACUGGUCUCACUGAUUCCUCCUUCCUGAAGAACCGUAAUGCCAUUAAUUCGGUGUUGCGGGGAAACAGGACCGUUACUUUGAAAAAAUUAGAGUGUUUAAAGCAAGCUAACGCUUGAAUACAUUAGCAUGGAAUAAUGAAAUAGGACGAUCGAUCCUAUUUUGUUGGUUUCUAGGAUUGACGUA
This 216-nucleotide ribosomal RNA is filed under the name Glomeromycotina sp. Its description in RNAcentral is "partial small subunit ribosomal RNA". The stretch from base 87 to 216 matches the Rfam family "Eukaryotic small subunit ribosomal RNA", at positions 733 to 864 of the family's 1831-position model. Lineage: Eukaryota; Fungi; Glomeromycota. The record is from RNAcentral.